Molecule: ribosomal RNA, 501 nt
Filed under: uncultured bacterium
Lineage: Bacteria
Description: partial 16S ribosomal RNA
Rfam family: Bacterial small subunit ribosomal RNA
Source: RNAcentral
AUUGAACGCUGGCGGCAGGCUUAACACAUGCAAGUCGAGCGGAGAGAGGUAGCUUGCUACUAAUCUUAGCGGCAGACGGGUGAGUAAUGCUUAGGAAUCUGCCUAUUAGUGGGGGACAACAUUUCGAAAGGAAUGCUAAUACCGCAUACGUCCUACGGGAGACAGCAGGGGAUCUUCGGACCUUGCGCUAAUAGAUGAGCCUAAGUCGGAUUAGCUAGUUGGUGGGGUAAAGGCCUACCAAGGCGACGAUCUGUAGCGGGUCUGAGAGGAUGAUCCGCCACACUGGGACUGGGACACGGCCCAGACUCCUACGGGAGGCAGCAGUGGGGAAUAUUGGACAAUGGGCGGAAGCCUGAUCCAGCCAUGCCGCGUGUGUGAAGAAGGCCUUAUGGUUGUAAAGCACUUUAAGCGAGGAGGAGGCUACUUUAGUUAAUACCUAGAGAUAGUGGACGUUACUCGCAGAAUAAGCACCGGCUAACUCUGCGCCAGCCGCCGCAGUAA